Molecule: ribosomal RNA, 494 nt
Filed under: uncultured bacterium
Lineage: Bacteria
Description: partial 16S ribosomal RNA
Rfam family: Bacterial small subunit ribosomal RNA
Source: RNAcentral
GACGAACGCUGGCGGCGUGCUUAACACAUGCAAGUCGAACGGUGAAGCGCCUUCCUUUUUGGUGGGUGUGGAUGAGUGGCGAACGGGUGAGUAACACGUGAGUAACCUGCCCCCUUCUUCUGGAUAACCGCAUGAAAGUGUGGCUAAUACGGGAUAUUCUGGGUCUGUCGCAUGAUGGGUCUGGGAAAGAUAUUGUUUCGGUGGGGGAUGGGCUCGCGGCCUAUCGGCUUGUUGGUGGGGUGAUGGCCUACCAAGGCGGUGACGGGUAGCCGGCCUGGGAGGGUGGCCGGCCACACUGGGGCUGCGACACGGCCCAGACUCCUACGGGAGGCAGCAGUGGGGGAUAGUGCACAGUGGGCGAAAGGCUGAUGCAGCGGCGCCGCGUGAGGGAUGGAGGCCUGCGGGUUGUGAACCUCUUUCGCCAGUGAAGCAGGCCUGCCUCGUUUGUGGGUGGGUUGACGGUAGCUGGAUAAGAAGCGCCGGCUAACUACGUG